CUCGUAGGCGGUUCGUCGCGUCCGGUGUGAAAGUCCAUCGCUUAACGGUGGAUCCGCGCCGGGUACGGGCGGGCUUGAGUGCGGUAGGGGAGACUGGAAUUCCCGGUGUAACGGUGGAAUGUGUAGAUAUCGGGAAGAACACCAGUGGCGAAGGCGGCUCACUGGGCCAUUACUGACGCUGAGGCACGAAAGCGUGGGGAGCAAACA
Molecule: ribosomal RNA, 207 nt
Filed under: uncultured bacterium
Lineage: Bacteria
Description: partial 16S ribosomal RNA
Rfam family: Bacterial small subunit ribosomal RNA
Source: RNAcentral